GGCUCGGCGCCGCAGCGCCCCGGACGAGGCGCGUCGUACCCGGUGAGGACAAGACGACGCGAG
This 63-nucleotide non-coding RNA is filed under the name Sandaracinus amylolyticus. The record is from RNAcentral. Lineage: Bacteria; Pseudomonadati; Myxococcota; Polyangiales; Sandaracinaceae.